GAUCCUGGCUCAGGAUGAACGCUAGCUACAGGCUUAACACAUGCAAGUCGCGGGGCAGCAUGAAGUCAGCUUGCUGACUUUGAUGGCGACCGGCGCACGGGUGAGUAACGCGUAUCCAACCUGCCUGUUACCACGGCACAGCCCGUCGAAAGGCGGAUUAAUGCCGUAUGUGGUCUUGAAAGGGCAUCUGAUCAUGACUAAAGGUUCAGCGGUAACGGAUGGGGAUGCG
This 229-nucleotide ribosomal RNA is filed under the name uncultured bacterium. RNAcentral's name for it is "partial 16S ribosomal RNA". It matches the Rfam family "Bacterial small subunit ribosomal RNA", at positions 15 to 235 of the family's 1533-position model. The record is from RNAcentral.